AUUGAACGCUGGCGGCAGGCUUAACACAUGCAAGUCGAGCGGAGAGAGGUAGCUUGCUACUGAUCUUAGCGGCGGACGGGUGAGUAAUGCUUAGGAAUCUGCCUAUUAGUGGGGGACAACAUUUCGAAAGGAAUGCUAAUACCGCAUACGUCCUACGGGAGAAAGUAGGGGAUCUUCGGACCUUGCGCUAAUAGAUGAGCCUAAGUCGGAUUAGCUAGUUGGUGAGGUAAAGGCCUACCAAGGCGACGAUCUGUAGCGGGUCUGAGAGGAUGAUCCGCCACACUGGGACUGAGACCCGGCCCAGACUCCUACGGGAGGCAGCAGUGGGGAAUAUUGGACAAUGGGCGGAAGCCUGAUCCAGCCAUGCCGCGUGUGUGAAGAAGGCCUUAUGGUUGUAAAGCACUUUAAGCGAGGAGGAGGCUACUUUAGUUAAUACCUAGAGAUAGUGGACGUUACUCGCAGAAUAAGCACCGGCUAACUCUGUGCCAGCCGCCGCGGUAA
This 501-nucleotide ribosomal RNA is filed under the name uncultured bacterium. RNAcentral describes it as "partial 16S ribosomal RNA". It matches the Rfam family "Bacterial small subunit ribosomal RNA", at positions 30 to 523 of the family's 1533-position model. The record is from RNAcentral.